Molecule: long non-coding RNA, 740 nt
Organism: Marmota flaviventris (yellow-bellied marmot)
Lineage: Eukaryota; Metazoa; Chordata; Mammalia; Rodentia; Sciuridae
Source: RefSeq, a predicted model, not a curated record
UUGUUGCACUGCUGCAAUAAAGAUCUUUUAGUUGCUCUGAGUGUUGUGGUCACUUUCCUUUCAGGAAAGGGCUCAUGAUACCAGCAUUAUCUGUAACAAAGCAAGUGAGAAUUACAUUGAAAAUACAAAUGCAGCAGAAUCUAAAACAUGUCUACAGCAAGCAAGGAUCAACUGAAUCAUGAUAUGAUGCCCAUCAUUACUAAAAUAAGAAGUGUGACAAUUCAAAGUUGUUCCACCACAUCCUCCCACCAUGAUGGACUGCCUCAUCACAGGCCCAAAGGCACAGGACCAGUGGACCAUGAACUGAAAUCUCCAAAACCAUGAGCUAAAAAAACUUUCCUCCUCUUAAGUUGAUUUAUCACAGGCCUUUGGACAUGGAUUGGAACUUAUACCAUUAGCACUGCUAUGUCGGCAACUUGCUAACUGCAGCUCUUGUUGCUUCUCAGCCACCACAAUCAUGUGGGCCAACAUACUUAAUCUCUCUAUAUAUUUGCAUACCUCAAUUGGUUCUGCUUCUCUGGAGAACCCCAGUACAACAAGGUCAUAUUGUUGCAGUAAUCUCCUAUUAGUUCUGUAUCUCUGGAAAACCGUAAUACACAGAUGUGGAGGAACCCCAUGUAAUGUUAUGUGAGGGCAGAGGCAGAAACAAGAGCUGUUGCCACUGACUGGUACAGCAUGGGUGCCAGUAACCACAGAAGCCAAGACAGAAGCAUGGAAGAGAUCUCCCUCAACCUCUAGAA